AUUGAACGCUGGCGGCAGGCCUAACACAUGCAAGUCGAGCGGAUGAAGGGAGCUUGCUCCUGGAUUCAGCGGCGGACGGGUGAGUAAUGCCUAGGAAUCUGCCUGGUAGUGGGGGAUAACGUCCGGACACGGGCGCUAAUACCGCAUACGUCCUGAGGGAGAAAGUGGGGGAUCUUCGGACCUCACGCUAUCAGAUGAGCCUAGGUCGGAUUAGCUAGUUGGUGGGGUAAAGGCCUACCAAGGCGACGAUCCGUAACUGGUCUGAGAGGAUGAUCAGUCAAAAUGGAACUGAGACACGGUCCAGACUCAUACGGGAGGCAGCAGUGGGGAAUAUUGAACAAUGGGCGAAAGCCUGAUCCAGCCAUGCCGCGUGAGUGAAGAAGGUCUUAGGAUUGUAAAGCACUUUAAGUUGGGAGGAAGGGCAGUAAGUUAAUACCUUGCUGUUUUGACGUUACCAACAGAAUAAGCACCGGCUAACUUCGUG
Molecule: ribosomal RNA, 484 nt
Filed under: uncultured bacterium
Lineage: Bacteria
Description: partial 16S ribosomal RNA
Rfam family: Bacterial small subunit ribosomal RNA
Source: RNAcentral